This 428-nucleotide ribosomal RNA is filed under the name uncultured archaeon. Its description in RNAcentral is "bacterial SSU rRNA". It matches the Rfam family "Archaeal small subunit ribosomal RNA", at positions 44 to 473 of the family's 1478-position model. The record is from RNAcentral.
UUAAGCCAUGCGAGUCGAACGAGUUUAGGCUCGUGGCGUACGGCUCAGUAACACGUGGAUAACCCACCCUUAGGACCGGGAUAACCUUGGGAAACUGAGGAUAAUACUGGAUAGGCAAUUAUUUCUGCAAUGGUUUUUUGUUUAAAUGUUUUUUUCGCCUAAGGAUGGGUCUGCGGCCGAUUAGGUAGUUGGUUAGGUAAAGGCUUACCAAGCCGUUGAUCGGUACGGGUUGUGAGAGCAAGAGCCCGGAGAUGGAACCUGAGACAAGGUUCCAGGCCCUACGGGGUGCAGCAGGCGCGAAACCUCCGCAAUGUGAGAAAUCGCGACGGGGGGAUCCCAAGUGCCAUUCUUAACGGGAUGGCUUUUCAUUAGUGUAAAGAGCUUUUGGAAUAAGGGCUGGGCAAGACCGGUGCCAGCCGCCGCGGUAA